This 253-nucleotide ribosomal RNA is filed under the name uncultured bacterium. Its description in RNAcentral is "partial 16S ribosomal RNA". It matches the Rfam family "Bacterial small subunit ribosomal RNA", at positions 524 to 776 of the family's 1533-position model. The record is from RNAcentral.
UACGUAUGGGGCAAGCGUUAUCCGGAUUUAUUGGGCGUAAAGCGCGCGUAGGCGGCUUGUUAAGUCAGGUGUGAAAUCCGGGGGCUCAACCCGCGGCUUGCAUCUGAAACUGGCAGGCUUGAGUCUGGUAGAGGAAAGUGGAAUUCCUGGUGUAGCGGUGAAAUGCGCAGAUAUCAGGAGGAACACCAGUGGCGAAGGCGGCUUUCUGGGCCACGACUGACGCUGAGGCGCGAAAGCUAGGGGAGCGAACAGG